UACGUAGGGUGCGAGCGUUGUCCGGAAUUACUGGGCGUAAAGAGCUCGUAGGUGGUUUGUCGCGUUGUUCGUGAAAACUCACAGCUUUACUGUGGGCGUGCGGGCGAUACGGGCAGACUAGAGUACUGCAGGGGAGACUGGAAUUCCUGGUGUAGCGGUGGAAUGCGCAGAUAUCAGGAGGAACACCGGUGGCGAAGGCGGGUCUCUGGGCAGUAACUGACGCUGAGGAGCGAAAGCGUGGGGAGCGAACAGG
This 253-nucleotide ribosomal RNA is filed under the name uncultured bacterium. RNAcentral's name for it is "partial 16S ribosomal RNA". It matches the Rfam family "Bacterial small subunit ribosomal RNA", at positions 524 to 776 of the family's 1533-position model. The record is from RNAcentral.